Molecule: unclassified non-coding RNA, 484 nt
Filed under: Hevea brasiliensis (rubber tree)
Lineage: Eukaryota; Viridiplantae; Streptophyta; Magnoliopsida; Malpighiales; Euphorbiaceae
Source: RNAcentral
AGAAUUUGCUGCUCGUGCUAUUGAAUUGCGAAAUAAUUGUGGAGUCAAUCCUAAGAUGAUACAAAAGCUAUCAACCAGGCAGCCAGGCUUGGAUAGCCGAAUGAAGGUCCUCAAGGAGAUCGCCUCAGAGAACAACAUUGUUGUGCAACUCGAGGAAGCCUGCCUUGCAAAUGAGGAAAAACUGGAUGUGAGAAAGAAGAAGCCAACUAAUUCAGGUAGCCCUUUGCGGUUUGGCAAUUUGCAAAUUUCACCUGAAGAGAUAAAAAAGGAUGCCUUCGGUGGUUCAAUUAAGGCAAAUAAGAAGUAUAGGGAUGCAGUUGAUGCAGCUCAAGAUGCUUUUAAGUUCUCAGCCAAUGCAGCUGCUGCUGCAAGAGCGGCUGUGGAACUCUGUCGAUAUGAUCCCCAUGAUCCUGACAAUGAUAACAGUCCCAAUAUUCGAGGAAAAAAGGUAUCAGAUAAGGAUGAGUCCAUGAAACUUGAAUCU